Molecule: ribosomal RNA, 479 nt
Filed under: uncultured bacterium
Lineage: Bacteria
Description: partial 16S ribosomal RNA
Rfam family: Bacterial small subunit ribosomal RNA
Source: RNAcentral
GAUGAACGCUCGCGGGAGGCCUAACACAUGCAAGCCGAGCGGUAUUGUUUCUUCGGCAAUGAGAGAGCGGCGUACGGGUGCGUAACACGUGUGCAACCUGCCUUUAUCUGGGGGAUAGCCUUUCGAAAGGAAGAUUAAUACUCCAUAAUAUAUUGAACGGCAUCGUUUAAUAUUGAAAGCUCCGGCGGAUAGAGAUGGGCACGCGCAAGAUUAGCUAGUUGGUGAGGUAACGGCUCACCAAGGCGAUGAUCUUUAGGGGGCCUGAGAGGGUGAUCCCCCACACUGGUACUGAGACACGGACCAGACUCCUACGGGAGGCAGCAGUGAGGAAUAUUGGUCAAUGGGUGCAAGCCUGAACCAGCCAUCCCGCGUGAAGGACGACUGCCCUAUGGGUUGUAAACUUCUUUUGUAUAGGGAUAAGCCUACCCUCGAGAGGGUAGCUGAAGGUACUAUACGAAUAAGCACCGGCUAACUCCGUG